RNAcentral lists this transfer RNA (79 nucleotides) under Candidatus Nitrosarchaeum limnium BG20. RNAcentral describes it as "Candidatus Nitrosoarchaeum limnia BG20 tRNA-Gly". It matches the Rfam family "tRNA". From Rfam's summary of the family: Transfer RNA (tRNA) molecules are approximately 80 nucleotides in length. Their secondary structure includes four short double-helical elements and three loops (D, anti-codon, and T loops). Lineage: Archaea; Thermoproteati; Nitrososphaerota; Nitrososphaeria; Nitrosopumilales; Nitrosopumilaceae. The record is from RNAcentral.
UGCAGUUAUAGUACAGUUUGGUUAAUAUUCGAGCUUGCCAAGUUCGUGACCCGGGUUCAAAUCCCGGUAACUGCACCAU